This 220-nucleotide ribosomal RNA is filed under the name uncultured bacterium. RNAcentral's name for it is "partial 16S ribosomal RNA". It matches the Rfam family "Bacterial small subunit ribosomal RNA", at positions 111 to 334 of the family's 1533-position model. The record is from RNAcentral.
UAAUGUCUGGGAAACUGCCUGAUGGAGGGGGAUAACUACUGGAAACGGUAGCUAAUACCGCAUAAUGUCGCAAGACCAAAGUGGGGGACCUUCGGGCCUCAUGCCAUCAGAUGUGCCCAGAUGGGAUUAGCUAGUAGGUGGGGUAAUGGCUCACCUAGGCGACGAUCCCUAGCUGGUCUGAGAGGAUGACCAGCCACACUGGAACUGAGACACGGUCCAG